Molecule: transfer RNA, 76 nt
Filed under: Oscillospiraceae bacterium
Lineage: Bacteria; Bacillati; Bacillota; Clostridia; Eubacteriales; Oscillospiraceae
Description: tRNA-Thr
Rfam family: tRNA
About the family: Transfer RNA (tRNA) molecules are approximately 80 nucleotides in length.
Source: RNAcentral
GCUGUUAUAGCUCAGUAGGCAGAGCACUUCCUUGGUAAGGAAGAGGUCGGCAGUUCGAAUCUGCUUAACAGCUCCA